RNAcentral lists this ribosomal RNA (501 nucleotides) under uncultured bacterium. RNAcentral describes it as "bacterial SSU rRNA". It matches the Rfam family "Bacterial small subunit ribosomal RNA", at positions 8 to 525 of the family's 1533-position model. The record is from RNAcentral.
AGAGUUUGAUCCUGGCUCAGAAUCAACGCUGGCGGCGUGCCUAACACAUGCAAGUCGAACGAGAAAGUCCCGCAAGGGACAAGUAGAGUGGCGAACGGGUGAGUAACACGUGGAUAACCUGCCGUCGAGUGGGGAAUAACCUUCCGAAAGGAGGGCUAAUACCGCAUAACACCCGAGGACACCAGUCCCCGGGUUGAAAGGAGUGAUUCGCUCGAUGAGGGGUCCGCGCCCGAUUAGCUUGUUGGUGGGGUAAUGGCUCACCAAGGCGACAAUCAGUAGCCGUCCUGAGAGGGAGCACGGCCACACUGGAACUGAGACACGGUCCAGACUCCUACGGGAGGCAGCAGUGAGGAAUUUUUGGCAAUGGGCGAAAGCCUGACCAAGCAACGCCGCGUGGGUGAUGAAGUAUUUUGGUACGUAAAACCCUUUCGGCAGGGACGAAUUCUUGACGGUACCUGCGGAAGAAGCCCGGCUAACUCCGUGCCAACAGCCGCGGCAAUA